RNAcentral lists this long non-coding RNA (1369 nucleotides) under Mustela putorius furo (domestic ferret). RNAcentral describes it as "lncRNA (ENSMPUG00000025010.1)". Lineage: Eukaryota; Metazoa; Chordata; Mammalia; Carnivora; Mustelidae. The record is from RNAcentral.
AGCUAAGUAGGUGGUUUUUCUAGUAUCAGUGCUACGCAAUUUUGCUGUCACGUGUCCCAUUGCUCCUUAGAUGUUCCCAUUCACCCAGCGGUAAUGUAGACAUGGCGUCUGAAAGGUACCUGAAAGGUCUUCACGAAGGAGGCUUGUUCCUACAAAGAAAGCUCAGAGUGUGUUCACAAAUAGUGACAAUAUUAGUUGCAUGUUGUCCUGGAUAUCACUCGCCAGGGAUUCUGCACACAUUUCAUUUUUAGGACGGGAAAUUUCUAUUUAGUCUAUGGCUUGGCAUGUGAAUGUGAGCCAGUUUCUUAUUCAGAAGCUGAUGAUGGUAUAUUUUUCUAUCUUGAUUAUUUUCUUGGAUUUCUGGCCAUCCUGUUUAGGUGACUGCUUAGCUGCCAGUGAGUCUCCUCAACAUCCAGACCAUGCAGGGACAGCUGUGUUCCAUAAAAGCCUGUCUGGGGAGGAGAGAGCAAGAGAGAACACAAGCAGUGGGACUGGCAAGCAGAGGCAGAGGGAGAAGCGGCUUCCCACCGAGCAAGGAACCCAAUACAGGACUUGAUCCCAGGACCCUGAGAUCAUGACCUAAGUCAAAGGCAGAUUCUUAAGGAACUGAGCCACCCAGGUGUCCCUCCAGUUAUACUCGUGAGUCCUGCAACCCUUACUCCUGGGCCUGUCUGCUCACAUUUGACCCAGCACUAUCCAAGUGACCAGAGUUAAGUGACCUGGCUUAGUAGUGACCUUUCAACAAGGAAAAGAAGUUAUGUGAUCUUAGCCUGAAAAUAUCUUACUAUUCACUCAGAAAAUACUGUUACAUGCCUUUGGUUCUGGUAAUGUAGUUUCUUUUCUAAAGAGGAAUUUCUCUUCCUGAAAAAAGUUAGUCAUUUUUAUGUUCUGCCUUCUUACGUUUUGUCAUUGAAGAUUCCAUUUCACGAGUUGUAAUAUAGAACACGGGCAGAAUAAAUUCUGGUCUUAUACAGAGAAAGACUUAGGGAAACCUCACUUUUCAAAGGUCACUGCUGGCUGUCCAUGACACGUUAAUAACUUCACCCCCCACUUAGUAUUGCCUAUGCGUUGUGUGGGGGGAUGAGAAAAUGGGAUGUCACAUUAGUCUGUUUGCCGGUAUACACACAGCAUCCACAAACAUAUAUAAUAUUUAUGUUUGUAAUGAAUUUACCUCUGUAAAGAAACUGUAAUAGAGAGAAGAGAUGUAACAAAAUAUGUUAAAACUACUUUGGGAGCUGAUACAGAGCCCAGGAAAAUUUUUCUAUAAUAGUAUAAGUAAAAGCCAUCUAUUAGGGUAAAUUGCCCAGAGCAGAGAGAAGAUAGUGGUUUGUCUUGAGAACAUAUGACAAAGAUAGGACGAAUUCCUGAA